UGAGCAAUCUGCCCUUCUCUUCGGAAUAAGCGUUGGAAACGACGUCUAAUGCCGAAUACGACCUCCUUUCGCAUGAUCGGAGGUGGAAAGCUCCGGGCGGAGAAGGAUGAGCUCGCGGCCUAUCAGCUAGUUGGUGUGGGUAAUGGCCCACCAAGGCGACGACGGGUAGCCGGCCUGAGGAGGGUGACCGGCCACAGUUGGGACUGAGACACGGCCCAAACUCCGUACGGGAGCAGCGAGGG
Molecule: ribosomal RNA, 242 nt
Filed under: uncultured bacterium
Lineage: Bacteria
Description: partial 16S ribosomal RNA
Rfam family: Bacterial small subunit ribosomal RNA
Source: RNAcentral